RNAcentral lists this ribosomal RNA (2923 nucleotides) under Enterobacter kobei. Its description in RNAcentral is "23S ribosomal RNA". It matches the Rfam family "Bacterial large subunit ribosomal RNA". Lineage: Bacteria; Pseudomonadati; Pseudomonadota; Gammaproteobacteria; Enterobacterales; Enterobacteriaceae. The record is from RNAcentral.
GGGUUGUGAGGUUAAGCGACUAAGCGUACACGGUGGAUGCCCGGCAGUCAGAGGCGAUGAAGGACGUGCUAAUCUGCGAAAAGCGCCGGCGAGGUGAUAUGAACCUUUGACCCGGCGAUGUCCGAAUGGGGAAACCCAGUGUGAUUCGUCACACUAUCGUUAACUGAAUACAUAGGUUAACGAGGCGAACCGGGGAACUGAAACAUCUAAGUACCCCGAGGAAAAGAAAUCAACCGAGAUUCCCCAGUAGCGGCGAGCGAACGGGGAGCAGCCCGGAGUCUGAAUCAGCUUGUGUGUUAGUGGAACGGUCUGGAAAGUCCGACGGUACAGGGUGAUAGUCCCGUACACGAAAAUGCACAGGUUGUGAACUCGAAGAGUAGGGCGGGACACGUGGUAUCCUGUCUGAAUAUGGGGGACCAUCCUCCAAGGCUAAAUACUCCUGACUGACCGAUAGUGAACCAGUACCGUGAGGGAAAGGCGAAAAGAACCCCGGCGAGGGGAGUGAAAAAGAACCUGAAACCGUGUACGUACAAGCAGUGGGAGCCUCUUUAUGGGGUGACUGCGUACCUUUUGUAUAAUGGGUCAGCGACUUAUAUUCUGUAGCAAGGUUAACCGAAUAGGGGAGCCGAAGGGAAACCGAGUCUUAACUGGGCGUUAAGUUGCAGGGUAUAGACCCGAAACCCGGUGAUCUAGCCAUGGGCAGGUUGAAGGUUGGGUAACACUAACUGGAGGACCGAACCGACUAAUGUUGAAAAAUUAGCGGAUGACCUGUGGCUGGGGGUGAAAGGCCAAUCAAACCGGGAGAUAGCUGGUUCUCCCCGAAAGCUAUUUAGGUAGCGCCUCGUGAACUCAUCUUCGGGGGUAGAGCACUGUUUCGGCUAGGGGGCCAUCCCGGCUUACCAACCCGAUGCAAACUACGAAUACCGAAGAAUGUUAUCACGGGAGACACACGGCGGGUGCUAACGUCCGUCGUGAAGAGGGAAACAACCCAGACCGCCAGCUAAGGUCCCAAAGUCAUGGUUAAGUGGGAAACGAUGUGGGAAGGCACAGACAGCCGGGGAUGUUGGCUUAGAAGCAGCCAUCAUUUAAAGAAAGCGUAAUAGCUCACUGGUCGAGUCGGCCUGCGCGGAAGAUGUAACGGGGCUAAACCAUGCACCGAAGCUGCGGCAGCGACACUAUGUGUUGUUGGGUAGGGGAGCGUUCUGUAAGCCGUUGAAGGUGGCCUGUGAGGGUUGCUGGAGGUAUCAGAAGUGCGAAUGCUGACAUAAGUAACGAUAAAGCGGGUGAAAAGCCCGCUCGCCGGAAGACCAAGGGUUCCUGUCCAACGUUAAUCGGGGCAGGGUGAGUCGACCCCUAAGGCGAGGCCGAAAGGCGUAGUCGAUGGGAAACAGGUUAAUAUUCCUGUACUUGGUGUUACUGCGAAGGGGGACGGAGAAGGCUAUGUUAGCCGGGCGACGGUUGUCCCGGUUUAAGCAUGUAGGCGGAGGUUCGGGUAAAUCCGGUACCUUUUAACGCUGAGGUGUGAUGACGAGGCACUACGGUGCUGAAGUAACAAAUGCCCUGCUUCCGGGAAAAGCCUCUAAGCAUCAGGUAACACGAAAUCGUACCCCAAACCGACACAGGUGGUCAGGUAGAGAAUACCAAGGCGCUUGAGAGAACUCGGGUGAAGGAACUAGGCAAAAUGGUGCCGUAACUUCGGGAGAAGGCACGCUGAUAUGUAGGUGAAGCCCCUGCGGGUGGAGCUGAAAUCAGUCGAAGAUACCAGCUGGCUGCAACUGUUUAUUAAAAACACAGCACUGUGCAAACACGAAAGUGGACGUAUACGGUGUGACGCCUGCCCGGUGCCGGAAGGUUAAUUGAUGGGGUUAGCGGUAACGCGAAGCUCUUGAUCGAAGCCCCGGUAAACGGCGGCCGUAACUAUAACGGUCCUAAGGUAGCGAAAUUCCUUGUCGGGUAAGUUCCGACCUGCACGAAUGGCGUAAUGAUGGCCGGCUGUCUCCACCCGAGACUCAGUGAAAUUGAACUCGCUGUGAAGAUGCAGUGUACCCGCGGCAAGACGGAAAGACCCCGUGAACCUUUACUAUAGCUUGACACUGAACACUGGUCCUUGAUGUGUAGGAUAGGUGGGAGGCUUUGAAGCGUGGACGCCAGUCUGCGUGGAGCCAACCUUGAAAUACCACCCUUUAAUGGCUGGUGUUCUAACGUAGACCCGUAAUCCGGGUUGCGGACAGUGUCUGGUGGGUAGUUUGACUGGGGCGGUCUCCUCCCAAAGAGUAACGGAGGAGCACGAAGGUUAGCUAAUCUGGUCGGACAUCAGGAGGUUAGUGCAAUGGCAUAAGCUAGCUUGACUGCGAGAGUGACGGCUCGAGCAGGUGCGAAAGCAGGUCAUAGUGAUCCGGUGGUUCUGAAUGGAAGGGCCAUCGCUCAACGGAUAAAAGGUACUCCGGGGAUAACAGGCUGAUACCGCCCAAGAGUUCAUAUCGACGGCGGUGUUUGGCACCUCGAUGUCGGCUCAUCACAUCCUGGGGCUGAAGUAGGUCCCAAGGGUAUGGCUGUUCGCCAUUUAAAGUGGUACGCGAGCUGGGUUUAGAACGUCGUGAGACAGUUCGGUCCCUAUCUGCCGUGGGCGCUGGAGAAUUGAGGGGGCUGCUCCUAGUACGAGAGGACCGGAGUGGACGCAUCACUGGUGUUCGGGUUGUCAUGCCAAUGGCACUGCCCGGUAGCUAAAUGCGGAAGAGAUAAGUGCUGAAAGCAUCUAAGCACGAAACUUGCCCCGAGAUGAGUUCUCCCUGAGACUAUAAGUCUCCUGAAGGAACGUUGAAGACGACGACGUUGAUAGGUCGGGUGUGUAAGCGUAGCGAUGCGUUGAGCUAACCGAUACUAAUGAACCGUGAGGCUUAACCUUACAACGCCGAAGGUGUUU